Pongo pygmaeus (Bornean orangutan) is the source of this 643-nucleotide long non-coding RNA. RefSeq lists it as uncharacterized. Lineage: Eukaryota; Metazoa; Chordata; Mammalia; Primates; Hominidae. The record is from RefSeq and is a predicted model, not a curated record. The transcript is spliced from 4 exons.
GGAUAACAGGGUUCCUUGUUGGGGAAAUGAAAAUGUUGUAAAAUCAAUUGAAUUGUAGUGAUGGAUGCACCGUUCGAUAUGUUGUCAUUACCAUGGGGAUUACAUGAAACAUCCUGAAUUUAUAGCAAACCAUUUUAAACUGGUUCUCCGAGGUUCCCGUGGAGCCACACCACCUCCUGUCUUGGCACUUCGUAGUCGUCUCAUCGAGUCCAAGGCUGCCUCCCAAGGGUCUGGUUGGUACACCGUGAAGUUGAUUCCUGCCUUAAGCCUAGCUUUGCAAGCAGUUGUCCUAUAUUCUCACCAGUCACAUUUUUGGUACUAGAACGGCGCGUUUUAUGGUGCACUCAUAAGUGGACGCUGAAAUCACAACCUGGCCAUUUGGAUGUUCAACCAAUGCUUUAUGCUGCUGAGUCCUUGGAACUCACCACCCGUGCCAGAACUCACUGGAGCUGAGUCUUCUGCUAUUGCUGGUGGGAGAUCAAUUAUCAACAUAUUCUUCCUUCUUUCUACCCUCUUCAGUAGCUUUUAGGACCUUUUCUUUGUUUUUUCUGCAGUUUUGUUAUGAUGGGUCUUGGUAUGGAUGGAUUUAUUGUAUUGGGGAUCGUGCCUCCUGACUCUAAAGGGUCCUGUGUCUAUUUUCAUU